Dalotia coriaria is the source of this 407-nucleotide long non-coding RNA. RefSeq lists it as uncharacterized. The transcript has 3 exons. Lineage: Eukaryota; Metazoa; Arthropoda; Insecta; Coleoptera; Staphylinidae. The record is from RefSeq and is a predicted model, not a curated record.
AAAGAUGUCAAAACAUUAUUUCGUCAUUGUGCGCAUAAUUAAUAACUGUCAUUAAUUAAAUUUAUUGAUCAGAUAAACAUUCGGAAUUUUGAUUUUUCGGAAUUUUGUAUUAAUCAUGGAGGUAUGUCGAUGCGAAGAAUAUAAAGAGCCGGUGAGGAAGAUAAAGAUAUUCACGUUGUGCACGUUAUUGCCGCAGAUCGAACGCGUCAAAGUGCCUGAAAAUGUUAUAAUCGACAUUCGAAACGUGCCAAUCUCAAAUGUGCGCGACCCACGCCGAAAUAAACCUUACAUUUUCCCGGCAACAAUAGAAUCUAAUCGCGUUGUGCCAAAUAAUUGGAUUCCCGUUAUCCACGGAACAAUAUCUACUAAAUUAACCUACGCGAAUAAAGCCUUGUACUGCCGAAUUU